UUUUUCUCAAAAUUCAAAAUCCGUGGCCGUUCGCCUGGCCUUCGCUAGGCGAGGCAGAGGCGAACGAGACAGUACCUGAUUUUUCUAGUCUGUUUUUUUUUUAUGUUUUUAUCAUAGCCAUGCAUUAUUCAUCCUAUCCUAUUUACUGUUGCGAUAUUUUUCCGGUGUAAUCUUCGAUUGCACCCUGAUUUGGUAUUCUGACAUGUUUCUUUUUGAGCUUCGAAAAGGUUCACAUAUCC
This 239-nucleotide long non-coding RNA is filed under the name Lathyrus oleraceus (garden pea). Its description in RNAcentral is "Pisum sativum (pea) long non-coding RNA (PSAT_LNC023752)". Lineage: Eukaryota; Viridiplantae; Streptophyta; Magnoliopsida; Fabales; Fabaceae. The record is from RNAcentral.